AUCCUAUUUUCAUGCACCAUUUGUAAGCAAGAGACUGAAUGGUUUACAAAAUUAAAAAUCAGGACGGUGUCCCGUUAAACCAAAAAGAACUAAACUGGAUGAAUAUUGUAGGAGAAAUCUAGAGGAAAGUUUUGAUUUGUGAAAUUGGUUUUCCUGAACAGAUGUACAUUCAUCCUGCAGGAAAGAUUUAUAACUGUCCACCACCAACUGACGAGCUAAUGUUGAGCUUCACAGAUGGAAUUACUCAAACACCAUAAAUGCCUAUGUUUUCAGCACAGAUUUCACAAAUCAUGACACAGCUGUGCAUUUUUAUGCCCCACCUACGAUAGUAGGGGGCAUUAUGUUUUCUGGUCUGUGCGUCCGUUCGUCUGUUCGUCCGUUCGUCCGUCCGUCUGUCCCUCUUCAGGUUAAAGUUUUUGGUCAAGGUAGUUUUUGAUGAAGUUGAAGUCCAAUCGACUUCAAACUUGGUACACA
RNAcentral lists this long non-coding RNA (474 nucleotides) under Mytilus galloprovincialis (Mediterranean mussel). Lineage: Eukaryota; Metazoa; Mollusca; Bivalvia; Mytilida; Mytilidae. The record is from RNAcentral.